UUAAUUAGCAAAUAUUGCAUAAGAUAUGCAAGAUCAAACUCAAUCUUGCAAAAGCCAAAUCCCUCUCUCCCUCACUAAAUUUUCGGCCACCCCUCUCUCCCUCACUACAAUUUUCGCCCAACACACAUACAUACACUCAUCUUCUUCACCUCACACUUCCACCAUUUUCCUCCAUUAGAGCAAACCUUCGAAGCUUCCAAUAAUACUACUAAACACCUCACAUCACUCUAAAACCUUCCAUAAAC
RNAcentral lists this long non-coding RNA (245 nucleotides) under Salvia miltiorrhiza (redroot sage). Its description in RNAcentral is "long non-coding RNA (SMIL_LNC009545)". The record is from RNAcentral. Lineage: Eukaryota; Viridiplantae; Streptophyta; Magnoliopsida; Lamiales; Lamiaceae.